AGUAGCACGCUGUAAGCGGCGCAAUAUUUGGCUCCAAAACAGGGACACGGCGCUGCUGUCUCCAUGCGAAACGUGGGCAUUUAAGAGACGCGGUGAAAGGUCCUCAUAUUGCAGCUAUGUGUGGACGGAGCAGGACGGCCUUUCUGUGUCUGUGGGCUUACUUGCUUGUCACCAGCUGUGUAUAUGGUGC
This is a long non-coding RNA of Thalassophryne amazonica, 190 nucleotides long. RefSeq lists it as uncharacterized. The record is from RefSeq and is a predicted model, not a curated record. Lineage: Eukaryota; Metazoa; Chordata; Actinopteri; Batrachoidiformes; Batrachoididae. The transcript has 2 exons.